UCUGGUGGCAAUAGCAAAGAGGUCACACCUGUUCCCAUGCCGAACACAGAAGUUAAGCUCUUUAGCGCCGAUGGUAGUCGGACUUACGUUCCGCAAGAGUAGGACGUUGCCAGGCUUA
This 118-nucleotide ribosomal RNA is filed under the name Staphylococcus saprophyticus. Lineage: Bacteria; Bacillati; Bacillota; Bacilli; Caryophanales; Staphylococcaceae. The record is from RNAcentral.